This 229-nucleotide unclassified non-coding RNA is filed under the name plant metagenome. RNAcentral describes it as "partial contains small subunit ribosomal RNA, internal transcribed spacer 1, and 5.8S ribosomal RNA". The record is from RNAcentral.
UCUCCGUUGGUGAACCUGCGGAGGGAUCAUUACAGAGUUCUCGCCCUCGCGGGUAGAUCUCCCACCCACUGUUAUCGUUACUGUGUUGCUUUGGCGGGCCGCCGGGCCCCGCUCGGCCGCCGGCUCCGGCUGGCGCGCGCCCGCCAGAGGCCCAGCAAACUCUGAAUGUUAGUGUCGUCUGAGUACUAUAUAGUAGUUAAAACUUUCAACAACGGAUCUCUUGGUUCUG